RNAcentral lists this ribosomal RNA (150 nucleotides) under uncultured Chloroflexota bacterium. RNAcentral describes it as "uncultured Chloroflexi bacterium partial 16S ribosomal RNA". It matches the Rfam family "Bacterial small subunit ribosomal RNA", at positions 327 to 496 of the family's 1533-position model. The record is from RNAcentral. Lineage: Bacteria; Bacillati; Chloroflexota.
CCCACGGGGGGCCUUCGGGAGGCAGCAGUAAGGGAUAUUGCGCAAUGGGCGAAAGCCUGACGCAGCAACGCCGCGUGCAGGGAGAAGGCCUUCGGGUUGUAAACUGCUUUUGGCUCGACAAGGCAGGACGGUAGGCUGAAAAAGGACCGU